Molecule: microRNA, 20 nt
Filed under: Homo sapiens (human)
Lineage: Eukaryota; Metazoa; Chordata; Mammalia; Primates; Hominidae
Description: hsa-miR-3621
Source: miRBase by way of RNAcentral
CGCGGGUCGGGGUCUGCAGG